Molecule: ribosomal RNA, 492 nt
Filed under: uncultured bacterium
Lineage: Bacteria
Description: partial 16S ribosomal RNA
Rfam family: Bacterial small subunit ribosomal RNA
Source: RNAcentral
AGUGAACGCUGGCGAUAGGCCUAACACAUGCAAGUCGAACGGCAGCACAGUGAGAGCUUGCUCUUACGGGUGGCGAGUGGCGGACGGGUGAGGAAUACAUCGGAAUCUACUUUUUCGUGGGGGAUAACGUAGGGAAACUUACGCUAAUACCGCAUACGACCUACGGGUGAAAGCAGGGGAUCUUCGGACCUUGCGCGAUUGAAUGAGCCGAUGUCGGAUUAGCUAGUUGGCGGGGUAAAGGCCCACCAAGGCGACGAUCCGUAGCUGGUCUGAGAGGAUGAUCAGCCACACUGGAACUGAGACACGGUCCAGACUCCUACGGGAGGCAGCAGUGGGGAAUAUUGGACAAUGGGCGCAAGCCUGACCCAGCCAUACCGCGUGGGUGAAGAAGGCCUUCGGGUUGUAAAGCCCUUUUGUUGGGAAAGAAAAGCAGCAGGUUAAUACCCCGCUGUUCUGACGGUACCCAAAGAAUAAGCACCGGCUAACUUCGUG